Molecule: long non-coding RNA, 1653 nt
Organism: Pyrus x bretschneideri (Chinese white pear)
Lineage: Eukaryota; Viridiplantae; Streptophyta; Magnoliopsida; Rosales; Rosaceae
Exons: 3
Source: RefSeq, a predicted model, not a curated record
UCGUUGGAUUGUAUGCUUUGGCUGGGUGUUCUAGAUGUUUUCUUCUGUCCGUGCUCUUUUCCUUCACAGAUCCAUAAUUUUUCUGCUCUCCAUCUUGGUCUCUCCUGCUAUCAAAUCUUCCUACUUUUCUUCUCGCAAAAACUGAUCGAAGCAAACCCAAUUCUACGUUUUUUCAUUUUGGAAUUUUGUUUGCACCCACCAUCUGAGGAGUGGCUGAUUUUUUCAAACUUUUUGAAAGCUAGGUUUGUCAGCGUUUAGUGCAAACCUAUAAAUUGUGUUCUGAUUGUUUUAUCGAUCUUACGAUUCCUGCCGCAAAUCGUUUACAAUUGGAUUCAAUUUUAGUUUCCGACUGCGGAAUUAGAAUCUGACUGGAAGAGUUUUGUGUGUUUACCUUUCUCAAGGGUCAAGACUCGCAGCCACCAGUUCUACAACCAACUGCAACCACUGGGGUUGUAAUUUCGGCCACAAUCAAUGGCACUGCUGCUUUCGAGUCUAGCAAUCCUGGCUUGGUGCGGUCGGAACCAACCUCGAAUGCCAACCAAGAUUUCGCCCAAGACGUAGUUAAGAGUCAUGAGUUUGUAGAAGGUGAGGUGAUGUGCUCUCUUGAAGAACUCCAUCAACUUUUAGAUCGAGCAUCUGCACCCAAUACACUGGCCAACUCCUCUAUUUUGAAUCCUACCGUAGACUUGCAAGCCAUAGCGACAACUAGAGCUACUUUAGAAAUGGACUUUAUUACUAUGGCUUGCGAGGUUUAACGAACUUGCAUGAUUUCAAGCAUCCAGAGCUUGGUAGAUUCUAAUUGCUUUUCCGCCGGCACCAGACCAAUGAUUAUGGGUUUGUUGACGCAGCCAGAGCAAUAUCUUCCAGCCUACUCCAAAGCCUAUUCUGAGUAUGAUAGGGGCAAAAACUUGACUGACCAAGUCCAAGCUACAAAACAGCUUCUUCAACCUAAGGUUCAGUUUUGUGAUAGCAAGGAGAGAGAAUUUCAAGAGCUUGUGAAAGGGAAAAUGAAGAUUGAAGGCAAGCAGGCUGCGAUACUUGCUGAAAUUCAUGGCAUACAUGCUGAAAUUUGUGGCACCAUCAAAGCGAUACUGGAACAAGUUGAGAAAUUCCUCCUACAGUAAGAUGAAUUUAAAGAAAAUGUGGGUAAUCUCAAGACCACGUUGGAUACUAGAGAUGUCUUCUGGACAACCUUUAAGAAGAUAAUUCACCAGCACUGACCUGCAACUUCUACACUUCUCCAUUACAUUAGUGAUUGUAUACAAGCUUCUAACAAGGACAUGCACAGAACAUUUUGGGGAGAGAUCAAAGGUGCCUUCCGAAAGAGCUGUAUAUAGCAAUUCCCAUUACUUCUACUUGUGAAACCGAGUAAUGGCUGAAUUUUGUGUGACUGGUAUUCUACGACUUCUUUGACAACAAAGCAACCUCUGUUUCCUGCUGUUUCUUCCGGUACCUCUGAGCGGUUGCAUUAACAAUCUUGACAAGGAAGUCCAACAACAUGAGCCAUACCAAAUUGUUCCAAACUGCCAAGGAUUCUGAAUUAGACAAACUGAAAUAAAACCGCCCCUGAGAUCAAUAUCGACAACAUAUAAAUUAAAUGCCAAUGUAGAAGGAUGCAUUUUAAUCAGCAGAGUUACCUUGAUAUUUGACGAA